This 502-nucleotide ribosomal RNA is filed under the name uncultured bacterium. Its description in RNAcentral is "partial 16S ribosomal RNA". It matches the Rfam family "Bacterial small subunit ribosomal RNA", at positions 899 to 1397 of the family's 1533-position model. The record is from RNAcentral.
ACUCAAAUGAAUUGACGGGGGCCCGCACAAGCGGUGGAGCAUGUGGUUUAAUUCGACGCAACGCGAAGAACCUUACCUGGGCUCGAACGGCUGCAGACCGCCGGUGGAAACACUGGCUUUCCCGCAAGGGACUGUAGUCGAGGUGCUGCAUGGCUGUCGUCAGCUCGUGUCGUGAGAUGUUGGGUUAAGUCCCGCAACGAGCGCAACCCUUGUCCUGUGUUGCUAACCCCUUAAAAGGUGCACUCUCAGGAGACCGCCAGCGAUAAGUUGGAGGAAGGUGGGGAUGACGUCAAGUCAUCAUGGCCUUUAUGUCCAGGGCUACACACGUGCUACAAUGGACGGUACAAAGCGCUGCAAACUCGCGAGAGGGAGCUAAUCGCAAAAAACCGUUCUCAGUUCGGAUUGCAGGCUGCAACUCGCCUGCAUGAAGCUGGAAUCGCUAGUAAUGGCAUAUCAGAACGAUGCCGUGAAUACGUUCCCGGGCCUUGUACACACCGCCCGU